GCACCGCGACCCCUCCCGCAACCCGCCUGGCGGCCGGGGGCAGCGUGACCCGGCCCGCUACCGUGUCACAGCUGGCGACUGACAAACAGCAGGCGACGUCGGGAGAACUCCCCGAGACACCCGAGACAUCAGCCUUCUCGCUCCGCGGCCCUGCAGGACCUGCCCGCCGGGAGCCCCGGAGUCCGCGGCAGCGCCGAGGGCCCCUCCCCCAGGCCUCUGGGCUCUGAGGCUCAUCCAUGGAAUACCAAUUCUUUUUCUUAGUGUUCACAUUGGAUUUUUCUGUUAAAAAUAGAUUGUUGGAGUUGGCUAACAAGUUGAUUACUUCCAGUCAGGCACUCUCUUCUGUAAAGUCUCUUUUGUAAACUCCUACAAGCAGCUAUUUCACUGGAUUUGAAAAGACUGACUAAAAAGAACCAUGCACUGUAACUCUCAAGUAUACAGGAAUAUUGUUAUUAGGAUGGGACGUGCUGCUCUAUGGGACCUUCAGAAUCCAUGUAAGAGACCCCUAUGCUUAAGCCUCUCUGGAUGGGCUUCAGCUCCUCACAGCCAUCAGGGACCAUGCCUGGCCGGAUGCUGCCGCCUGGCUUCAGUGCCAUCUGCAUGUCCUCAGGGAUGACAAAGGACUCAUUGUACCAGAUGUCAAAUUCUACAAGGAGAGACGGGGUCUCACUGUAUUGCCCAGGCUGGUCUCGAACUCCUGUACUCAAGCAAUCCACCCGCCUCAGCCUCCCAAAGUGCUGAGAUUACAGGCGUGAGCCACUUCGCCUGGCCUAGGAGAUAUGAGUUUACUUGAUCUGUUCAAGUAAAUUCAAUAAAAUAAAGUCUUCAUCUGUCACCCAGACUGGAGUGCAGUGGCGCAAUCUUGCCUCACUACAACCUCUGCCUCCUGGGCUCAAGCGAUUUUCAUGCCUCAGCCUCCCAAGAUGCUAGGAUUACAAGUGUGUGCCACCACGCCCUGCUCCUCUGAGAAAUAAAUGAGUAAAAUGCACCCCCUGUGAGUGAGAUGAUGCAUCUGACUUGCAGGAAUAAACCAAGUGACAUCUGGAGAUCACUCAUGGAAGCUGGCCUGGAACAGGGUUGUGAUUUAGCGAGGGAAAGCCCAGUAACCUGUGGUGUUUCCUGUCUGGAAGAAGACAGUAAGACUGAGCCAGGAGUGUGAAGAACAGUGUGGCCUCUGAACCACCUGUCCCAGAGUUGGAAUGGUCACUCACUAAAAUGCAGGUCCUGGGCCCUGCUCCAUCUCUCCCAAGUCAGAACCACUGGCUGAGGGGCUGGGAAUCUGCACUUGACCAGCCCUCUCAGAUAAGUCAUCUGAACACGCAAGCUUGGUGGGCCUUGGCCCUCAGUGCAGGUGUGGGCGGCGCACGCCACCAGGACAAGGACACUGGGUCAGAGUAACCAGGUACUCUUCACAUGUUGAGGAUCACAUAUGGUUUUGUUUGAUCUGGUGCAGAAGCUAACAUUAGCUGAUUACCUAAUUGGGCGUAAUUCCUCCUUCGGGGAGUCUGAGGGAAGGGGCUCAAUGCUGGAAGUUUCCCGGUCCCGCGAAAGCAUGUCUUUGACAUCCCCAUCUUUGGAGGAUGGGACCAGCUGGGUCUUGGAGGUGGAAACGUAAUCCAAGUCCUUCCCAUUCACAGGGCUGCUGGCACCUUCCUUUCUUGCCAAGGAGCUGGAAGAAGGCACGGAAGCCCCAGGGUUCAGUCAUGGACAGUGAGUUAUCAGAUGCCAGGAUGAGUGACCUUUCUCAGCACUGACUACACUGGGAACCCCACCUCAUUCAGCUCCCAUCUUGUUCAUAUGCCUAGGUAAAAGCGCAAAUAGUGUGAUGCUAAGCCAGGCAGAUGUGGAGGAAGAAGAGGGCAUUUUUCUCCCUUUUAUCAGAACAAAGAGCCCUCGGUGGUCUUGGCAGGAGACGCUUGGGAAAAAUGGGUACAAUCUCCAGGGAUUGAAAGUGUAUGGACCUGUAGGAUGGGCCACAGGUUCUCAGGAACCACCACGGCUGCUGAGGUCUGAGUCAUACAGGCUUCCCCGGGAAGGACUGGCAGAGCCCCACACAGGGUGGUUCUGUCUGUGGAUCAAUGGUAAAGCAGGAUGGCUCUGCCCUGCUGUUCUUACUGGUCCACACCCUGUUCUCCACACCAGCUCCCAGAAAAGUAGCUGUCCUCCCUGCUGAAGUGACAGUGCUUGGUGCCUUUCUCCGAGAAGAGGCAGAUCUGAGGACCGAACUGGCAGGAGGAUGCCCAUGGCUCUUCCCAAAGGUCUGAGGAUAGAAAAUCUGUUUCUUCCUCUUUCCUCCUCCUUGCAACGAGUAUGGCUCAGGGAACUGAGCCUCAACCCAUUGAAUACUGCACUGAUUAUCCGGAAGCAGAACAGAGAGGGUUGGGGUGUGACUGCACUCAUGAAGAGGCAGGAGGAAGCCAGGGACACUGGCAUCCUCUGCUGCCUGACUCUUGUCCUGCGUGUAACAGUUUUCUACAAUCAGCUCUGGCCUGUGGCCUGUGCUCACACACUCUUGCUCACAACAACCUCAAUGACUUGGA
Molecule: long non-coding RNA, 2540 nt
Filed under: Homo sapiens (human)
Lineage: Eukaryota; Metazoa; Chordata; Mammalia; Primates; Hominidae
Description: KIF9 antisense RNA 1 (KIF9-AS1)
Source: RNAcentral